This 499-nucleotide ribosomal RNA is filed under the name uncultured bacterium. RNAcentral's name for it is "partial 16S ribosomal RNA". It matches the Rfam family "Bacterial small subunit ribosomal RNA", at positions 28 to 507 of the family's 1533-position model. The record is from RNAcentral.
GACGAACGCUGGCGGCGUGCCUAAUACAUGCAAGUCGAGCGAAGUUUUUCUGGUGCUUGCACCGGAAAAACUUAGCGGCGAACGGGUGAGUAACACGUAAAGAACCUGCCUCAUAGACUGGGACAACUAUUGGAAACGAUAGCCAAUACCGGAUAACAGCAUUAACUGCAUGGCUGAUGUUUAAAAGUUGGUUUUGCUAACACUAUGAGAUGGCUUUGCGGUGCAUUAGCUAGUUGGUGGGGUAAAGGCCUACCAAGGCGACGAUGCAUAGCCGACCUGAGAGGGUGAUCGGCCACACUGGGACUGAGACACGGCCCAGACUCCUACGGGAGGCAGCAGUAGGGAAUCUUCCGCAAUGGGCGAAAGCCUGACGGAGCAACGCCGCGUGAGUGAAGAAGGAUUUCGGUUCGUAAAGCUCUGUUGUUAGGGAAGAAUGAUUGUGUAGUAACUAUACACAGUAGAGACGGUACCUAACCAGAAAGCCACGGCUAACUACGUG